Molecule: long non-coding RNA, 1402 nt
Organism: Diorhabda sublineata
Lineage: Eukaryota; Metazoa; Arthropoda; Insecta; Coleoptera; Chrysomelidae
Exons: 2
Source: RefSeq, a predicted model, not a curated record
CGGAAUUUAUGUUAUUCGCGAAUACGGAACUGUUACUAAAAAUUCAGAACGACAAUUUGGAGAGUAUGUUUACGAACGUUACUCUCGGAAUCAAACUCGCGAACGAAACUAUUAUCUAACCUCACUUUAACUGCAGUGCCAUUGAUGAAAACCGCUUUUUUCAAAAAAAAAAACAAUAUCUUGCAGAAUUAUCUGAAUUAUAUUUUUAUAGUAUUUUUAGUCAAUGUAUAUUGUGUCAUUACAAAAAAACAAACAGGUAGUAAUAAAGUGGACUAAUAAUUAAUAUGUAUUAGUCAAAAAAUAAAUUGAGGAAACUUUAUUUACGAUCAAAGUCUGAUUAUUUUUUUAGUAUUUAGAAAAAUAUACGACAAAAAAUAACCACAAUUAUUCAAAGAUUUGAACAAUUGACAAAGUGUAUAUACAGGGUUAUCAUAAAAAAAUGAUUGUGGAUGAUAAAAUGAAGGAAAUACGCGGAAUCUAUCUGCAGGAUAAUUAUUGUCAUAAAAUCGUAUGAUGUGACAACACUGUAUUUUGAAAAAGUGCGGUUUCCUCGUUAUAUAAUUCUUUCUGCUUCUUCCGUUUCUCGGAUGAAAUUAAUUUUAUAUAAAUACAUUUAGAUUUUACGAAAAAAUGCCUAGAUACUAUAUUAUUUUCAACACAGCCAAUGUACUGUAAAAUAAUGUCAGUAGGAUCGCCAGUAUGAAAAAAUUCCCGUUUAAUUUAGCAUGGCACAGAUAUUUUCUGAAUGGAAGCACAUCGUCGUCCAUGAGCAACUUAUAUAAAAAAAUACAUAACCUCAUGCUGCACGUACUUUUUUAUGAACACCAUAUUUACGUCUCAGUAUAUAUACAUACAGAAGUUUACAACUCACACUUUCUUUACCAAUUAUCUUUAUUUACACACCCUGCUUACUGCCCCUACAAAAAUAAAUACCACUACAAAAUCUUGUCCGUCAAGCCAGAUAUUAACCAAUGACUUAUGGAAGGCUCGAAGGACCAGAUAGUGUAAAAUCAAAUAUGUAAAAGAAAUAUGAAACCAUAAUUUGAAAGUUUUAAUAAGACUGUAAGUAGGAGGAUAAUGGGAAACCAAAUGGCGCUAAAAUAAAACAAUCAUCAUUACACAGUCCGGUCCCUGGUUUAUAUCAGGCCCAAAGGACCAGAUAGUAUAAUUGUGAGUGUUGGUGUAACUGUAGACUAAUACAUAAAAGGAACCAAUGAAGAUUGGUAGAGCAAAAUAUAACAAGAUAAAUGAGGAAAUAGAAGAUUAAGCCUUAGGCUAAGUAAAUCAUGAGAAAUCUACCAAAUGUAGCUUGUUGUGCCCCCGCAAAAGGUUAGGAAGUCUUUGAAAUACAUAAGAAUCUCUGUAUAAUGAUGGAAAUGUCAAAAACAAAAAUUACAAACAA